UACAGAGGUGGCAAGCGUUGUUCGGAAUUACUGGGCGUAAAGGGCGCGUAGGCGGCCCUCUCAGUCGGAUGUGAAAUCCCCAGGCUUAACCUGGGAACGGCAUCCGAUACUGGAGGGCUUGAAUUCGGGAGAGGGAUGCAGAAUUCCAGGUGUAGCGGUGAAAUGCGUAGAUAUCUGGAGGAAUACCGGUGGCGAAGGCGGCAUCCUGGACCGAGAUUGACGCUGAGGAGCGAAAGCUAGGGGAGCAAACGGG
RNAcentral lists this ribosomal RNA (253 nucleotides) under uncultured bacterium. Its description in RNAcentral is "partial 16S ribosomal RNA". It matches the Rfam family "Bacterial small subunit ribosomal RNA", at positions 524 to 776 of the family's 1533-position model. The record is from RNAcentral.